GAGGGUAUAGCUCAGUGGUAGAAUGCAUGUGCUUAGCAUGCACAAGACCCUGGGUUCAAUCCCCAGUCCUUCCA
Molecule: transfer RNA, 74 nt
Filed under: Camelus bactrianus (Bactrian camel)
Lineage: Eukaryota; Metazoa; Chordata; Mammalia; Artiodactyla; Camelidae
Also listed under: 1 other name
Rfam family: tRNA
About the family: Transfer RNA (tRNA) molecules are approximately 80 nucleotides in length. Their secondary structure includes four short double-helical elements and three loops (D, anti-codon, and T loops).
Source: Rfam by way of RNAcentral